RNAcentral lists this ribosomal RNA (454 nucleotides) under Clostridiales bacterium oral taxon 085. RNAcentral's name for it is "bacterial SSU rRNA". It matches the Rfam family "Bacterial small subunit ribosomal RNA", at positions 28 to 490 of the family's 1533-position model. The record is from RNAcentral. Lineage: Bacteria; Bacillati; Bacillota; Clostridia; Eubacteriales.
GAUAAACGCUGCGGCGCACAUAAGACAUGCAAGUCGAACGAACUUAAUUGAGAGCUUGCUCUCAAAGCGGUUAGUGCGGACUGGUGAGUAACACGUAAGCAACCUGCCUAUUAGAGGGGAAUAACAGCGAGAAAUCGUUGCUAAUACCGCAUAUGCUGCGAGUAUCGCAUGAUACAAGCAGGAAAGGAGCAAUCCGCUAAUAGAUGGGCUUGCGUCUGAUUAGUUAGUUGGUGGGGUAACGGCCUACCAAGACGAUGAUCAGUAGCCGGACUGAGAGGUUGAACGGCCACAUUGGGACUGAGAUACGGCCCAGACUCCUACGGGAGGCAGCAGUCGGGAAUAUUGCGCAAUGGAGGAAACUCUGACGCAGUGACGCCGCGUGCAGGAAGAAGGUUUUCGGAUUGUAAACUGCUUUUAACAGGAAAGAAAAAAAUGACGGUACCUGUUGAAUAAG